CCUACGGGGGGCUGCAGUGGGGAAUAUUGGACAAUGGGCGAAAGCCUGAUCCAGCCAUGCCGCGUGUGUGAAGAAGGCCUUCGGGUUGUAAAGCACUUUCAGUGGGGAAGAAAGCCUUGGGGCUAAUACCCUCGAGGAAGGACAUCACCCACAGAAGAAGCACCGGCUAACUCCGUGCCAGCAGCCGCGGUAAUACGGAGGGUGCGAGCGUUAAUCGGAAUUACUGGGCGUAAAGCGCGCGUAGGCGGUCUGAUAAGCCGGUUGUGAAAGCCCCGGGCUCAACCUGGGAACGGCAUCCGGAACUGUCAGGCUAGAGUGCAGGAGAGGAAGGUAGAAUUCCCGGUGUAGCGGUGAAAUGCGUAGAGAUCGGGAGGAAUACCAGUGGCCAAGGCGGCCUUCUGGACUGACACUGACGCUGAGGUGCGAAAGCGUGGGUAGCAAACAGGAUUAGAUACCCCGGUAGUC
This 465-nucleotide ribosomal RNA is filed under the name Vreelandella stevensii. RNAcentral describes it as "partial 16S ribosomal RNA". It matches the Rfam family "Bacterial small subunit ribosomal RNA", at positions 338 to 795 of the family's 1533-position model. Lineage: Bacteria; Pseudomonadati; Pseudomonadota; Gammaproteobacteria; Oceanospirillales; Halomonadaceae. The record is from RNAcentral.